This 468-nucleotide ribosomal RNA is filed under the name uncultured bacterium. RNAcentral describes it as "partial 16S ribosomal RNA". It matches the Rfam family "Bacterial small subunit ribosomal RNA", at positions 28 to 507 of the family's 1533-position model. The record is from RNAcentral.
GACGAACGCUGGCGGCGUGCUUAACACAUGCAAGUCGAACGGAAAGGCCCUGCUUUUGUGGGGUGCUCGAGUGGCGAACGGGUGAGUAACACGUGAGUAACCUGCCCUUGACUUUGGGAUAACUUCAGGAAACUGGGGCUAAUACCGGAUAGGAGCUCCUGCUGCAUGGUGGGGGUUGGAAAGUUUCGGCGGUUGGGGAUGGACUCGCGGCUUAUCAGCUUGUUGGUGAGGUAGUGGCUUACCAAGGCUUUGACGGGUAGCCGGCCUGAGAGGGUGACCGGCCACAUUGGGACUGAGAUACGGACCAGACUCCUACGGGACGCAGCAGUGGGGAGUAUUGCACAAUGGGCGGAAGCCUGAUGCAGCAACGCCGCGUGCGGGAUGACGGCCUUCGGGUUGUAAACCGCUUUCGCCUGUGACGAAGCGUGAGUGACGGUAAUGGGUAAAGAAGCACCGGCUAACUACGUG